AGGGAGCUCAGUGCGGCGGCGUUCUCCUGGCUGCACAUAAUUCUGGAAGGCCGUUGACCUGUGUUUGACUUCUCUUGUUCUACUCUUGAACUGCCCAAAGGCCACUGUCACCAGAACUCAAGGCCAGGAUCUCAAAGUAACCUGGCCACACAAAGGCAUAUAACACACUACCACCUGUUCACAGACUCAUUCCACUUUAUAUUUGCUGGAAACGAUCCUAGAAGCUGAAAUACUUCCAGAGUUCAACAGUCUGGGAAAUUUAAAAGAGGGAGGAAAAAAGCCCUGCGUCCAAAGAUCUGAGGCCAGAACUCUGUUCUUUGAGGAUGGGAGGAGGUAAGAAGACCCUAUUCAAGGCUGCAGGAGAGGAAAAGAGCCCCACAAGGAAACUACCAACAGAUGACAGGAAUUGCCGCCAAAGAGCUGCAAGAAAUUGGCAGAGACUAUACUGGUUGGUGGCAAAUUCAGUUCUGGAACCCAAGACAUCUAUUUCUCAGUUCAAUGUGUGCUCUGUUUUAACACCCACGGACAUUUCCGUGAAGAGCAAAGUCCAAUUCUAGAAGACCUUUCUCAUAGUAAUCUUCCUUCUUGAGUUCUUGUAAGGGAAAUCUUGGUGAGAUAACUACCCUGGAGCAUCUCCAAAAAAUUCAUACAAACCAACAGGAGAGGCAACUUUAUAUACCUGUGAAGAUCAAGGAACUGUAACACCAGAUCUUCACGAGAGGACCAGACAAGUAAGAACUUUCCUGCCCUGCCCUCUCCUCCUCCUCCUAGAAUUCUAACCAGAGAAAAGUGCGCAGCCGUGUUCUACAGACUGCAAGGGGCAGGGAUGUGGAAAAGAAGGGGAAUAGAGGUUUCUCUCCUAACCCAACUGUAGCUUUUUGUAGGAGGUUGAGCUGGAGAUGGGAGAAACCUGUCAAUGGUUUUUGUUGUUGUUGUUGUUUUUUUUACUGUGAUGUGAAUCCAGACACGUUAAUUACUAACCAAUGGAUAUAUUACCUGGAAGUAAC
Molecule: long non-coding RNA, 1007 nt
Organism: Capra hircus (goat)
Lineage: Eukaryota; Metazoa; Chordata; Mammalia; Artiodactyla; Bovidae
Exons: 4
Source: RefSeq, a predicted model, not a curated record